RNAcentral lists this ribosomal RNA (497 nucleotides) under uncultured bacterium. RNAcentral describes it as "partial 16S ribosomal RNA". It matches the Rfam family "Bacterial small subunit ribosomal RNA", at positions 28 to 507 of the family's 1533-position model. The record is from RNAcentral.
GAUGAACGCUGGCGGCGUGCCUAAUACAUGCAAGUCGAGCGAACAGACGAGGAGCUUGCUCCUCUGACGUUAGCGGCGGACGGGUGAGUAACACGUGGAUAACCUACCUAUAAGACUGGGAUAACUUCGGGAAACCGGAGCUAAUACCGGAUAACAUGUUGAACCGCAGGGUUCAACAGUGAAAGACGGUCUUGCUGUCACUUAUAGAUGGAUCCGCGCCGCAUUAGCUAGUUGGUAAGGUAACGGCUUACCAAGGCAACGAUGCGUAGCCGACCUGAGAGGGUGAUCGGCCACACUGGAACUGAGACACGGUCCAGAAUCCUACGGGAGGCAGCAGUAGGGAAUCUUCCGCAAUGGGCGACAGCCUGACGGAGCAACGCCGCGUGAGUGAAGAAGGUCUUCGGAUCGGAAAACUCUGUUAUUAGGGAAGAACAAAUGUGUAAGUAACUAUGCACGUCUUGACGGUACCUAAUCAGAAAGCCACGGCUAACUACGUG